This is a non-coding RNA of Candidatus Beckwithbacteria bacterium RBG_13_42_9, 73 nucleotides long. The record is from Rfam. NCBI's taxonomy places the organism in Bacteria, Candidatus Beckwithiibacteriota.
GGGCCCAUAGCUCAUUUGGUAGAGCGCAUCGUUUGCAACGAUGAGGUGGCCGGUUCGAGCCCGGCUGGGUCCA